RNAcentral lists this ribosomal RNA (999 nucleotides) under Prevotella melaninogenica. RNAcentral's name for it is "bacterial SSU rRNA". The stretch from base 1 to 874 matches the Rfam family "Bacterial small subunit ribosomal RNA". Lineage: Bacteria; Pseudomonadati; Bacteroidota; Bacteroidia; Bacteroidales; Prevotellaceae. The record is from RNAcentral.
GACGAACGCUGGCGGCGUGCCUAAUACAUGCAAGUCGAGCGAAGUUUUUCUGGUGCUUGCACUAGAAAAACUUAGCGGCGAACGGGUGAGUAACACGUAAAGAACCUGCCUCAUAGACGGGGACAACUAUUGGAAACGAUAGCUAAUACCGGAUAACAGCAUAAAUCGCAUGAUAUAUGUUUAAAAGUUGGUUUCGGCUAACACUAUGAGAUGGCUUUGCGGUGCAUUAGCUAGUUGGUGGGGUAAAGGCCUACCAAGGCGACGAUGCAUAGCCGACCUGAGAGGGUGAUCGGCCACACUGGGACUGAGACACGGCCCAGACUCCUACGGGAGGCAGCAGUAGGGAAUCUUCCGCAAUGGGCGAAAGCCUGACGGAGCAACGCCGCGUGAGUGAAGAAGGAUUUCGGUUCGUAAAGCUCUGUUGUUAGGGAAGAAUGAUUGUAUAGUAACUAUAUACAGUAGAGACGGUACCUAACCAGAAAGCCACGGCUAACUACGUGCCAGCAGCCGCGGUAAUACGUAGGUGGCAAGCGUUGUCCGGAAUUAUUGGGCGUAAAGCGCGCGCAGGUGGUUUAAUAAGUCUGAUGUGAAAGCCCACGGCUCAACUGUGGAGGGUCAUUGGAAACUUUAAACUUGAGUGCAGGAGAGAAAAGUGGAAUUCCUAGUGUAGCGUUGAAUGCGUAGAGAUUAGGAGGAACACCAGUGGCGAAGGCGGCUUUUUGCCUGUAACUGACACUGAGGCGCGGAAAGCGUGGGGAGCAACAGGAUUAUAUACCCUGUGAUGCAAGAGGGAUUUCACAGUGAUUUCAAGCUUAUGGAUGCCGUCCACCUGCGAGGGGGGGGCCGAGAAAAAAAUAUUAUUGUUACCUAUUUUGUAAGGUUAAUUAAUGGAUGGUGCAGACGCACGCUGUGCCGUAGUGAGUGUUGUGCCUGUGUCGUGUGGUGGUGUGCUGUGUCUAGGGUUUGUGUGUGUUGGUGGUGUGGGUGUGGUAGUAGAUG